UUGCAGUUAAAAAGCUCGUAGUUGGAUUUCUGGCAGGGGUUGAGAGCCCGCACGCAGCGUGUGCUUUAUAACCCCUACCAUCCUUCUGUUAAACUGUCGGGUCUUCACCGACCCGGCAGCGGCUCAGAUAAUUUACCUUGAGAAAAUUAGAGUGUUUCAGGCAGGCCGACGCCGGGAUACAUUAGCAUGGAAUAAUAGAAUAGGACUGUCGCCUCUUCUGUUGGUCUGAGGGGUGGCCGUAAUGAUUAAUAGGGAUAGUUGGGGGCAUUAGUACUUAACUGUCAGAGGUGAAAUUCUCGGAUUUGUUAAAGACUAACUUAUGCGAAAGCAUUUGCCAAGGAUGUUUUCAUUAAUCAAGAACGAAAGUUAGGGGAUCAAAGACGAUCAGAUACCGUCCUAGUCUUAACCAUAAACUAUGCCGACUCGGGAUUGGAGGCAGGAGUUGUCCGCCCUUCAGCACCGUAUGAGAAAUCGAAGUCUUUGGGUUCUGGGGGGAGUAUGGUCGCAAAGCUGAAACUUAAAGGAAU
Molecule: ribosomal RNA, 527 nt
Filed under: uncultured eukaryote
Lineage: Eukaryota
Description: SSU rRNA
Rfam family: Eukaryotic small subunit ribosomal RNA
Source: RNAcentral